RNAcentral lists this long non-coding RNA (1364 nucleotides) under Mus musculus (house mouse). RNAcentral's name for it is "long non-coding RNA chr1:90287421-90288785". Lineage: Eukaryota; Metazoa; Chordata; Mammalia; Rodentia; Muridae. The record is from RNAcentral.
GGGGCUCUGUUUAAACCACUAAAGGUACUUUGGCUUAAGCUUGCAUCAGCGCUCAGGGGAGGGGUGAACAGGUGAGAAACUCAGGCACAGAGGAGAAACACCUGCUCAGGUCCUGCUUCCUGGUAACAAGGGGACUGAGAUUUUGCUAUGGGGACAGCUGUUUUCCAAACUUCGAAGAGAUGUGCCACAGAAGUGAGACUUCUGCACUGUAGCCCCCAGAGUCUGAUUCUGUAUCCCUGUACAACUCGUCACAAGGACCCCAAAGGUCUUUCUGCGUGACUUUCAUGCAUUGGCAAUCAGGUGCUACUUGGGGACCUCAGCACCACUCUGUGCUCAUGCCUGGCCUGGCCACUCUCUCUGUGUGUCCCUGUUGCCAGAUCCUGGCUGUCAUACUGUUCCAGAAUAUUCUAGCUGGAUUAAAAAGCCUGGGCUCACUCUGUAAGACCUCAUGGAGAACAUCAUGAAGUGUCCCCCUCACUCAGCCACCUCUCUGAGUACUUCGUGUAAGAUGGAGGUAUCUGAAUCCUGUCGGCUUUGGCUGUUGAAAAACUAGUUCUAGAAGUUCACACUAGUCAGAGGUUGUUUCACAAUCAUAAAGCUCACUCUUAAUUCACUUAAGUCUUCUCCUCCUCCUUGAAUGAGCCCCUUUUAAGUCUGAAAUUAGACACUAAAUGCAGGCUUCACAUUUCAUGUGUCCUUUAGUAGCUAGUGACAUUCUCUAGGGCAAGGUCACUUCUCCAGCAUUCUGAAGUUACACCUUCUGCCCCCAUGCCCCGCCCCCGUAAACUUUUUGCUCCUGGUAACAGUUUCCCUGGAGACAAGUUGCCCCCUUUUCAUUGAAGUUAAGAACAUGCCAAUGCUAACUCCCUUCCUCGAAAAUACGCCAGUGACAAUCCCAACCUUGAAUUCUCAAGACCCUAGGAGAAAAUCCAUCCGGACCUAAGUCCCCUGGAUCAGGUCAACCUAGGACAAAGCCGCUAGCUCACCCAGCCGCCAUCAUUUGCCCUCUUCACAGGAGGAUCUGUCAAUUUGGCUUCCAUCCAGGACUCCAUCAGAUCCUCAGGGAUGUAGGCGGUCAUACCCCCUUCAUGGAAGGGUGCCUUGCCUCAUUUGUCUGCUAGAGUCAUCUCAGUACCCACUUCAGGCUCUGGGAUUCCACACAUGCAAAUGGUACCCAGCCUUCCUCUUCCUCCUGCUUUGGGCAAGUCUCAGGGCACCAGGACAUAGGCUGUGGCUUCCCUGACAUGUUCUGUUUGUGCCAGACUGUCAAGCUCCUUCAUGUUUGUGUGAGCAUGUGGGUGCACAUGCGCGUGCAUGCCUGUGUGUGCCUGUGUGUGUGUGUAUGCAUAAUGGUCAGCUCUCUU